Molecule: ribosomal RNA, 440 nt
Filed under: uncultured soil bacterium
Lineage: Bacteria
Description: bacterial SSU rRNA
Rfam family: Bacterial small subunit ribosomal RNA
Source: RNAcentral
AGAACGAACGCUGGCGGCAUGCCUAAUACAUGCAAGUCGAACGAACACUUCGGUGUUAGUGGCGCACGGGUGCGUAACGCGUGGGAAUCUGCCCUUGGGUUCGGAAUAACAGUUGGAAACGACUGCUAAUACCGGAUGAUGACGAAAGUCCAAAGAUUUAUCGCCCAGGGAUGAGCCCGCGUAGGAUUAGCUAGUUGGUGAGGUAAAGGCUCACCAAGGCGACGAUCCUUAGCUGGUCUGAGAGGAUGAUCAGCCACACUGGGACUGAGACACGGCCCAGACUCCUACGGGAGCAGCAGUAGGGAAUAUUGGACAAGUGGGCGAAAGCCUGAUCCAGCAAUGCCGCGUGAGUGAUGAAGCUUAGGUUGUAAAGCUCUUUACCGAGAUGAUAAUGACAGUAUCGGAGAAUAAGCCCGGCUAACGUCCGUGCCAGCAGCCGA